This 293-nucleotide ribosomal RNA is filed under the name uncultured prokaryote. RNAcentral describes it as "partial 16S ribosomal RNA". It matches the Rfam family "Archaeal small subunit ribosomal RNA", at positions 455 to 747 of the family's 1478-position model. The record is from RNAcentral.
GUGCCAGCCGCCGCGGUAAUACCGGCAGUCCGAGUGAUGGCCGAUCUUAUUGGGCCUAAAGCGUCCGUAGCUGGCUGGACAAGUCCGUUGGGAAAUCUGCUCGCUCAACGAGCAGGCGUCCAGCGGAAACUGUUCGGCUUGGGACCGGAAGACCUGAGGGGUACGUCCGGGGUAGGAGUGAAAUCCUGUAAUCCUGGACGGACCGCCGGUGGCGAAAGCGCCUCAGGAGAACGGAUCCGACAGUGAGGGACGAAAGCCAAGGUCUCGAACCGGAUUAGAUACCCGCGUAGUCC